GUCCACGCCCUAAACGAUGUCUACUAGUUGUCGGGUCUUAAUUGACUUGGUAACGCAGCUAACGCGUGAAGUAGACCGCCUGGGGAGUACGGUCGCAAGAUUAAAACUCAAAGGAAUUGACGGGGACCCGCACAAGCGGUGGAUGAUGUGGAUUAAUUCGAUGCAACGCGAAAACCUUACCUACCCUUGACAUGGCUGGAAUCCUCGAGAGAUUGGGGAGUGCUCGAAAGAGAACCAGUACACAGGUGCUGCAUGGCUGUCGU
RNAcentral lists this ribosomal RNA (263 nucleotides) under uncultured bacterium. RNAcentral describes it as "partial 16S ribosomal RNA". It matches the Rfam family "Bacterial small subunit ribosomal RNA", at positions 793 to 1055 of the family's 1533-position model. The record is from RNAcentral.